This 253-nucleotide ribosomal RNA is filed under the name uncultured bacterium. RNAcentral describes it as "partial 16S ribosomal RNA". It matches the Rfam family "Bacterial small subunit ribosomal RNA", at positions 524 to 776 of the family's 1533-position model. The record is from RNAcentral.
UACGAAGGGGGCUAGCGUUGUUCGGAAUUACUGGGCGUAAAGCGCACGUAGGCGGAUUAGUAAGUCAGGGGUGAAAUCCCGGGGCUCAACCUCGCAACUGCCUUUGAUACUGCUGAGCUCGAGUCCGGAACAGGUGAGUGGAAUUCCUAGUGUAGAGGUGAAAUUCGUAGAUAGUAGGAAGAACACCAGUGGCGAAGGCGGCUCACUGGUCCGAAACUGACGCUGAGGUGCGAAAGCGUGGGGAGCAAACAGG